ACUCGAGUGGCGAACGGGUGAGUAACACGUGGGUGAUCUGCCCUGCACUUCGGGAUAAGCCUGGGAAACUGGGUCUAAUACCGGAUAGGACGAUGGUUUGGAUGCCAUUGUGGAAAGUUUUCGGUGUGGGAUGAGCUCGCGGCCUAUCAGCUUGUUGGUGGGGUAAUGGCCUACCAAGGCGUUGACGGGUAGCCGGCCUGAGAGGGUGUACGGCCACAUUGGGACUGAGAUACGGCCCAG
Molecule: ribosomal RNA, 240 nt
Filed under: uncultured Actinomycetales bacterium
Lineage: Bacteria; Bacillati; Actinomycetota; Actinomycetes; Actinomycetales
Description: partial 16S ribosomal RNA
Rfam family: Bacterial small subunit ribosomal RNA
Source: RNAcentral